This is a long non-coding RNA of Gossypium arboreum, 350 nucleotides long. RefSeq lists it as uncharacterized. The record is from RefSeq and is a predicted model, not a curated record. NCBI's taxonomy places the organism in Eukaryota, Viridiplantae, Streptophyta, Magnoliopsida, Malvales, Malvaceae. The transcript has 2 exons.
AGAAAUUAAGAAGCCAAAUUCCUUCUUUUGACAUUGCUCUUUCAUCUAACCUGUUCUCAAGACAACUUGGCUUAAGUACAUUAGUCCAUACCAUAUAUCAAUCAUGCACUCAUCAGGGGAACCUCAUGAUGAGGCUCCUUGGUCCGUCGGAUUUUGUGAUUGUUUCUCCGACAUGAAAACUUGUUGUAUGGCGUGUUUGUGUCCAUGCAUCGCUUUUGGCCGGAUUUCUGAGAUUGUUGACAAAGGGUCAACUUGUAAGUAAAUAGUUUCUAAACUGGAUUGUCGAAACCAUUUUUAAAUCGAGUUUUGGAAAAUGGGAAUCGAUUUUAAGAAAAAUAAAAACGGGAGCC